RNAcentral lists this ribosomal RNA (465 nucleotides) under uncultured bacterium. RNAcentral's name for it is "bacterial SSU rRNA". It matches the Rfam family "Bacterial small subunit ribosomal RNA", at positions 330 to 792 of the family's 1533-position model. The record is from RNAcentral.
GCCAGACUCCUACGGGAGGCAGCAGUGAGGAAUAUUGGUCAAUGGUCGGGAGACUGAACCAGCCAAGCCGCGUGAGGGAUGAAGGUACAGAGUAUCGUAAACCUCUUUUGUCAGGGAACAAAGGCGGGGACGUGUCCCCGGAUGAGUGUACCUGAAGAAAAAGCAUCGGCUAACUCCGUGCCAGCAGCCGCGGUAAUACGGGGGGUGCAAGCGUUGUCCGGAAUCAUUGGGCGUAAAGCGUUCGUAGGCGGUAUGUCAAGUCUGAUGUUAAAGCCCGGGGCUCAACUCCGGUUCGGCAUUGGAUACUGGCAAACUAGAAUGUGGUAGAGGUAAAGGGAAUUCCUGGUGUAGCGGUGAAAUGCGUAGAUAUCAGGAGGAACAUCGGUGGCGAAAGCGCUUUACUGGACCAUUAUUGACGCUGAGGAACGAAAGCCAGGGGAGCAAAUGGGAUUAGAUACCCGAGUA